UCGCAUUAGCUAGUUGGUGGGGUAAAGGCUCACCAAGGCAACGAUCCGUAGCUGGCUUGAGAGGGCGAUCAGCCACACUGGGACUGAGACACGGCCCAGACUCCUACGGGAGGCAGCAGUGGGGAAUCUUCCACAAUGGGGGAAACCUCUGAUCCAGCCAUCGCCGCGUGUAGUGAUGAAAGGCCUUCGGGUCGUAAAGUUCUUUUGGCAGAGAAGAAACAGGUAUCUCAUUAUACUGCAAUUGCCUUGACGGUAUCUUCUGAAUAAGCCCCGGCUAACUACGUGCCAGCAGCCGCGGUAAUACGUAGGGUGCAAGCGUUAUUCGGAAUUACUGGGCGUAAAGCGUGUGCAGGCGGUUCGGAAAGUAAGAUGUGAAAUCCCAGGGCUCAACCUUGGAAGUUCAUUUUUAACUUCCGAGACUAUGAGUACGUCAGAGGUUGGUAGGAAUUCCACGUGUAGCAGGUGAAAUGCGUAGAUAUGUGGAGGAAUCACCCAGUGGCGAAGGCAGCCCCCUGGCAUAAUACUGACGCUCAGGCACGAAAGCGUGGGAGCAA
RNAcentral lists this ribosomal RNA (554 nucleotides) under Alcaligenes sp. BND-AN12. Its description in RNAcentral is "bacterial SSU rRNA". It matches the Rfam family "Bacterial small subunit ribosomal RNA", at positions 236 to 771 of the family's 1533-position model. Lineage: Bacteria; Pseudomonadati; Pseudomonadota; Betaproteobacteria; Burkholderiales; Alcaligenaceae. The record is from RNAcentral.